GAUGAACGCUGGCGGCGUGCCUAAUACAUGCAAGUCGAGCGAACAGACGCGAUGCUUGUUCCUCUGACGUUAGCGGCGGCCGGGUGAGUAACACGUGGAUACCCUACCUAUCAGACUGGGAUAACUUCGGGAAACCGGAGCUAACACUGGAUAAUAUAUUGAACCGCAUGGUUCAAUAGUGAAUGCCGGUUUUGCUGUAACUUAUAGAUGGACCCGCGGCGCAUUAGCUAGUGGGUAAGGUAACGGCUUACCAAGGCGCCGACGCGUAGCCGACACGAGAGGAGGAGCGGCGAACCUGAAAGGGGGACACGGUCCAGACUCCUAGAGAAGGAACCAGUAGGGAAUCUUCCGGGAGGGGCGAAGGACUGACGAAGCGACGCGGCGGGAGGGAUGAAGGACGUCGGAUCGUAGAGCGCUGUCAUUAGGGAAGAACAAAUGUGUAAGUGACUAGGAACGUCUUGAAGGGACCUAGUCAAAAAAGCACGGCUAAAUUCGGGC
This 498-nucleotide ribosomal RNA is filed under the name uncultured bacterium. Its description in RNAcentral is "partial 16S ribosomal RNA". It matches the Rfam family "Bacterial small subunit ribosomal RNA", at positions 28 to 508 of the family's 1533-position model. The record is from RNAcentral.